UAGAGUUUCACAAAUUAUGUACUACUUAUGUUCUUUCUUUAGAUGGUGGAAACAGAGAGACAUAACCUAUCAUUCUAACUCGGGAGUUUGACAAAGUUCAACGAGUAGCUUCUUCCUUCCUUGCAGGACACUUAGAUGUUUUAUAUGUUCAAUGAGUAGCUUCUUCCUUCCUUGCAGGACACUUAAAUGUUUUAUAUGUAGACUCAACCAAGCUUCUUUCUUGCAGUUGUCUCAAUCUCUUUUGGACAAAAGACCAUGUUAUGAUGCUGUUCAAGGGGCAAAUGUGACACCUACUACAUUCUAUAAUAUUGGAGAUCUUGAGAUU
Molecule: long non-coding RNA, 325 nt
Filed under: Capsicum annuum
Lineage: Eukaryota; Viridiplantae; Streptophyta; Magnoliopsida; Solanales; Solanaceae
Description: long non-coding RNA (CANN_LNC006399)
Source: RNAcentral